GGGCCCGUAGCUCAAUGGAUAGAGUACGUGGCUUCGAACCACGUGGUCCGGGUUCGAUUCCUGGCGGGCCCA
This 72-nucleotide transfer RNA is filed under the name Elusimicrobiota bacterium. RNAcentral's name for it is "Elusimicrobia bacterium (groundwater metagenome) tRNA-Arg". It matches the Rfam family "tRNA". From Rfam's summary of the family: Transfer RNA (tRNA) molecules are approximately 80 nucleotides in length. The record is from RNAcentral. Lineage: Bacteria; Pseudomonadati; Elusimicrobiota.